GGCUUCUGUAUCCUAAACAAGGAUGUGGUUCUGCCUCAACCCCUGUGCAGAUAGGGGAAGAUAGAAUUAGAGCAAUCUUAAAGCUGAGUCGGAGUGUUCCAGGAAGCCCAUGGGUUGGAUGUGCUAGAGAGGGUUCUGAGUGUCAUUUUAUGUAAUGGUCCAUCAGGGAAUUCAUGUUAUUUUGUCACAUAUCAAUGAACCUUUCGAUACAUUUUUAGUGACACUGGGUGGGGUUUUACUGUUGCUGCUUCUCCAGGUCAACUUCCUGCAUCAUAUGAAGGCAGAUUAAUAGCUUCCUCCACAAUGAAAGAAUCGACAGAGCAUGGUGUUAUCAUUGGCAAUCAUCCCAGGACCAUUAUGUCAGGAUGAAGAAUAUGUAUUAUAUCAUCUGAAAACGGAUUUCAGUGGUCCUCAGCUGGAGCUGGGAAGCAGAUACAAAAAUGGCUUCAACACAAGAAAAGAGUGAAAGCGACUGACUGUGGAGUUUCUAGAUAUGAGUCAGAACUGACACUGUAUGCCUACCCAGCCUGGGAUGAUGUCAGUGUGCAUACUAGACACUAUGGUGAGAGAAACCAUAUACAAUGCGGAACCUAAGCACAGAACAGGAAGACUUACAUUUCAAGACCUCCAAUUGUCAUCUUCAGAAGGUGCCCAGCAAAGCUUGCUUAGGAGUAGUGGCCUGGAGCUGCAGCCCACACUGGAGAAGUUAAUUUGCUUUUUUUUAGCCUAAUGGAGCUGCCUUUAAACUACAGUGUUAGUACCUGUGUGAGUAUACCAGCGAGUAAGCCAACACUUGAAGGGUAUCAGCAGAGGUACAGGUAUGGGACCUGUUAUCCUGAAUGCUUGGGACCUGGGUUUUUCCAGAUAAGGGGUGUUUCCAUAACUUGGAUCCCCAUGGCUUAAAUCUAAUAGAUUAUUUAAAGGUUAAUUAAACCCGAAAGGAUUGUUUUGCCUCCAAUAAGGAUCAAUUAUAUCAUAGUUAGGAUGAAGAACAAGGUACGGUUUUAUUAUUACAGAGAAAAGGAUAUAGUUUUUAAAAAUUUAGAGUUAUUUAAUGGGAAAUGGCUUUACUGUAAUUCGGAACUUUUUGGAUAACGGGUUUCCGGAUAACAGAUCCCAUACCUAUAAAAACUUACCACUGGAUCCAUAAAAUGUAUAUUCAAGAGACCUUGCCUUGUGACUUACAUAAAGGAGCAACUGCCAUUCUACGGGCUACUUUGGGACAGACUACCAAGGUACUGCAUAUAGUGUUUUGGCUUGGACUUUUUUUUUAAAAAAAUUAACACUGUAUUUGUCUAAGGCUAAAGCCACAUGGGGCUGAAUCUGCUGGCCUUAACCACUUUUGUGUCUGCACUCACAGUCACUGCAGCACGUGCAGGCCGACAAUUAUCAGUGUGGCACUAGCCAAAGUGGACAGUUUUUCUGUUAAGGAGUCAUAUUGUGCUACACAUCCAUGGAAGCACAUAUUCCAUGUGUUACUCAUUUCUUUAAAUAAAGUAUACCAUUAUGCUUUUUC
This is a long non-coding RNA of Xenopus tropicalis (tropical clawed frog), 1516 nucleotides long. RefSeq lists it as uncharacterized. The record is from RefSeq and is a predicted model, not a curated record. The transcript has 5 exons. Lineage: Eukaryota; Metazoa; Chordata; Amphibia; Anura; Pipidae.